RNAcentral lists this ribosomal RNA (273 nucleotides) under uncultured prokaryote. RNAcentral describes it as "partial 16S ribosomal RNA". It matches the Rfam family "Bacterial small subunit ribosomal RNA", at positions 524 to 796 of the family's 1533-position model. The record is from RNAcentral.
CACGUAGGAGGCAAGCGUUAUUCGGAUUUACUGGGCGUAAAGCGCGUGCAGGCGGUUUGGAAAGUUGGAUGUGAAAGCUCCUGGCUCAACUGGGAGAGGUCGUUCAAAACUUCCAGACUUGAGAGUGGUAGAGGGAGGUGGAAUUCCGGGUGUAGUGGUGAAAUGCGUAGAUAUCCGGAGGAACACCAGUGGCGAAAGCGGCCUCCUGGACCACUUCUGACGCUCAGACGCGAAAGCUAGGGUAGCAAACGGGAUUAGAAACCCUAGUAGUCC